AUAAAGAUAAGCUAACUAAGCUAGCAGGUUCAUACCCCGCUUAUGGGAGUUCAAUCUCUCUCUUUUUA
RNAcentral lists this transfer RNA (68 nucleotides) under Enoplometopus occidentalis (Hawaiian reef lobster). RNAcentral's name for it is "tRNA-Met". It matches the Rfam family "tRNA". Rfam says of the family: Transfer RNA (tRNA) molecules are approximately 80 nucleotides in length. Lineage: Eukaryota; Metazoa; Arthropoda; Malacostraca; Decapoda; Enoplometopidae. The record is from RNAcentral.